AUUGAACGCUGGCGGCAGGCCUAACACAUGCAAGUCGAGCGGCAGCACAGUACUUGCUUCCGCUUACGGGGGCCGAGUGGCGAGCGGUGGCGAAAUACCUCGCAAUUUGCUUUUUCGAAGGUGCGGACAUAGGGAAAAUUACCCCAUACCCGCAUACGACCUACGGGGGGAAGCUUCGGACCUUCCGACCUCACACGAUUCUAUGUCGGAUUAGCUAGUUGGCGGGGUAAAGGCCUACCAAGGCGACGAUCCGUAGCUGGUCUGAGAGGAUGAUCAGUCACACUGGAACUGAGACACGGUCCAGACUCCUACGGGAGGCAGCAGUGGGGAAUAUUGGACAAUGGGCGCAAGCCUGAUCCAGCCAUACCGCGUGUGUGAAGAAGGUCUUCGGGUUGUAAAGCCCUUUUGUUGGGAAGGAAAAGCAGUAGGUUAAUACCUUGCUGUUUUGACGUUACCAAAAGAAUAAGCACCGGCUAACUUCGUG
This 484-nucleotide ribosomal RNA is filed under the name uncultured bacterium. RNAcentral describes it as "partial 16S ribosomal RNA". It matches the Rfam family "Bacterial small subunit ribosomal RNA", at positions 30 to 507 of the family's 1533-position model. The record is from RNAcentral.